CACACACACACACACACACACACACACACACACACACACACACACACACACACACACACACUUUACAAAUUAAUAGAUGAUGUGUAAUAUUUGUUGUAUUUAUUUUUUUAUUUAUUUAUUUAUAAGUAGAGACGCAAUAUGGAGUUAUUGACAAGGAUGGUGACAAGAGAUGACCGUUGUUCAAAGUUGCAGUUUCUUCUGGGAAUGACAUCUUUGAUCGUUUUCAUUCUUUAAGAUACUCCCACACCAUACUACGGCGGAUGGAAUACACGUGUGGAACGCGUUACCUAGCAGUGUCUGUGUUGCGUGUUUGUGUCCCUCAUUACUGCUGAUGGUGGAGGAUCUGACAAGACAUAUGUGCAGGUUAGACACACACGCAUAGAAGAGGAACUGCAUUAGGAGAGCCAGACCAGCGACGGACAGAGCGGUG
Long non-coding RNA from Portunus trituberculatus (swimming crab), 430 nucleotides. RefSeq lists it as uncharacterized. Lineage: Eukaryota; Metazoa; Arthropoda; Malacostraca; Decapoda; Portunidae. The record is from RefSeq and is a predicted model, not a curated record. The transcript has 3 exons.